GGACAGUCAGACCCAAAGGAAGUCAGAAGCCUGCAGUUGGUGUCCAACAGUUCCAUCUGCCUGCAGGGAGCAGUCGACAACAGGCCUCCAGAUAAAUUCCAGAUGAUCUACAGGAAGCGAUCUGAAUGAUCCCAGCAUAGCUGGACAAAGCUAGAAUAAAUGUGGGGCUGUGGGACCAACAGGCCGUACAACACAUGAAGCAAAGCAAGUAUGUGCAUAUAAAGGUCAGAGGCCAACCUGGUCUAUGGAGCGAGUUCCAUGACAGCCAGCCAGAGCUACACAGAGAAACCCUCUCGCAAACAAAGGAACAAGAAAAAUUAAAAUUCUGGCUCUAAAGAUGUAUUGUCUUCUAUGUGUAUUGGUGUUUGGGUUGCAGGGUCUGUGUACCACAUGUGUGCAGUGCAGGCAGGGACCAGAAGGGGGCAUGAGAUCCUCUGGAGCUGGAGUUACAGACAGUGCUGAGCCACCACUCAGUGCUGUGCAACAGUUUCCAACAAAUCUGGAACAUUCCAUGAUGCAGGGAAGCUCCUUAAGCGGGAGGUAAAACACUCAAAAUAACUUCAGGAAGUCCCUGAAACUGACCAGAAUCAUUAGGUCCCUCCCUGCCAGAGUAAGCAAUAAAAGCCGAGAGUCCCUCUUAGACAAAGAGAAGAUGAGCUACAGAAAAGGAUUGUCAGACUGGACAGGCUCCCUGGAAGAAGCAGAAGCCAGGCAAGCUUCCAGGAAGAGGCUCAGACCCCCUGAGGCAGCGGGAAAGGAAGCUUUCCAACCUGAUGAGCUACCUGCGCGGUGUCAGCUUCCAGUCAUGCUGCUGUGGGCUUUGGUGAUGCGGCUGUCAUUGAAUCAUUUCUGCUCCUGUAAGUCACCCCUCACCCCUAUUCCUGUCAGUAACCCCAAUAAAACUCCUUGCUUCACCAACUUGGCCUUUGGUGCUAUCUGUACUAUGGUCUGUUUGCUCUAGGCUCCCUGUCUGGGGUGAGUAGAUGUGUGUGUUGUGUCUCCCCAGGAAAAGUUUAUCACAAUCACACAGGUGCUGGGAAUCAAACCAAAACCCCCAACUCCUGAGCCAUCUCCCCAAUUGCAAUGGUUUUUGUUUUAAGCAAAAGGAGAGCUGUGAUUUUAGUCUGAGGGAAAGGCACUAGCCUCAUGUGAGAACAAAGUCCUAGAGCCUGUCCGCAAUGUCGCAAGAAGAAAAGGGAGAGGGAGAAGGAAGCCAUUGAGAGAAGAAUGGAUCAACAACAAGUAAGACAUAUAUAU
This is a long non-coding RNA of Alexandromys fortis (reed vole), 1257 nucleotides long. RefSeq lists it as uncharacterized. The record is from RefSeq and is a predicted model, not a curated record. Lineage: Eukaryota; Metazoa; Chordata; Mammalia; Rodentia; Cricetidae. The transcript is spliced from 3 exons.